This 203-nucleotide ribosomal RNA is filed under the name uncultured Lactobacillus sp. RNAcentral's name for it is "partial 16S ribosomal RNA". It matches the Rfam family "Bacterial small subunit ribosomal RNA", at positions 160 to 355 of the family's 1533-position model. The record is from RNAcentral. Lineage: Bacteria; Bacillati; Bacillota; Bacilli; Lactobacillales; Lactobacillaceae.
AUGCUAAUACCGGAUAACAACAAGAUGAUGCCUAUCAACUGUUUAAAAGAUGGUUCUGCUAUCACUCUUGGAUGGACCUGCGGUGCAUUAGCUAGUUGGUAGGGUAACGGCCUACCAAGGCGAUGAUGCAUAGCCGAGUUGAGAGACUGAUCGGCCACAUUGGGACUGAGACACGGCCCAAACUCCUACGGGAGGCAGCAGCA